This is a long non-coding RNA of Haliotis rufescens (red abalone), 212 nucleotides long. RefSeq lists it as uncharacterized. The transcript is spliced from 2 exons. The record is from RefSeq and is a predicted model, not a curated record. NCBI's taxonomy places the organism in Eukaryota, Metazoa, Mollusca, Gastropoda, Lepetellida, Haliotidae.
AUUGGGAUACGAUAAAUAAUUGAAAGAAAAGCAACUUAGCAAUUUUAAUACAUUGUUCAAGGUCACUCAGAGUUUUCUCUCUUCAACGUCCUGUGGACUCUAAGCGAGCUGGGUAUAUAAUUGUCAUCACUGUGACCAUAUCUAUUCUUGUUAAAGUAAUCAAUCGGGGAUGAGUAGUGGCAUUGUUUCUGUUUUGGCAAAUAAAAAAAAUU